CGAUGGAAAACAGGUUAAUAUUCCUGUACUAAUUUUUGAGUGGUACCGAGGGACGGAGGAGGGAACAGUUGGUCAAUAUUGGAUGUUGGCGGAAACGUUCAAGGUGAUGAGAGAUAGAAUAAAAACUAUUCUUGAGCUGAGGCGUGAUACGGUUUUAUUCCCUGUAUGAGAGCUUUGCUCAAAUUCAAAAUGAAACUCAAUUAGUUGUCAAACUUCCUAGAAAAGCUCGAACUUCCAAUACUUAAAAAUUACCCGUACCCGAAACCGACACAGGUAGGUAGGUAGAGUAUACCAAGGGGCGCGAGAUAACUCUCUCUAAGGAACUCGGCAAAAUGGCCCCGUAACUUCGGGAGAAGGGGUGCCCUCAAUUAAGAGGGCCGCAGUGACCAGGCCCAGGCGACUGUUUACCAAAAACACAGGUCUCCGCUAAGUCGUAAGACAAUAUAUGGGGGCUGACGCCUGCCCAGUGCCGGAAGGUGAAGGAAGUUGGUUACUUAGACUUUAGUCUGAGAAAGCUGACAACCGAAGCCCCGGUGAACGGCGGCCGUAACUAUAACGGUCCUAAGGUAGCGAAAUUCCUUGUCAGGUAAGUUCUGACCCGCACGAAAGGUGUAACGAUCUGGGCACUGUCUCGGAGAGAGGCUCGGUGAAAUAGACAUGUCCGUGAAGAUGCGGACUACCUACACCUGGACAGAAAGACCCUAUGAAGCUUUACUGUAGCCUGGAAUUGAAUUUGGGCUUUUUUUGCGCAGUCUAGGUGGGAGGCGUUGAUAGUUCCCUUCCGGGGGAGCUGGAGCCAUCAGUGAGAGACCACUCUGGAGAAGCUAGAAUUCUAAUGGCGAUCCUUGAAUCAGGACGCUUGACAGUUUCAGGUGGGCAGUUUGACUGGGGCGGUCGUCUCCUAAAAGGUAACGGAGAUGUGCAAAGGUUCCCUCAGGCUGGACGGAAAUCAGCCGAAGAGUGUAAAGGCAUAAGGGAGCUUGACUGCAAGACCUACAAGUCGAGCAGGGGCGAAAGCCGGCCUUAGUGAUCCGACGGUACCGAGUGGAAGGGCCGUCGCUCAACGGAUAAA
Molecule: ribosomal RNA, 1072 nt
Filed under: Trebouxia sp. G0507
Lineage: Eukaryota; Viridiplantae; Chlorophyta; Trebouxiophyceae; Trebouxiales; Trebouxiaceae
Description: LSU rRNA
Rfam family: Bacterial large subunit ribosomal RNA
Source: RNAcentral